UGGGGAAUAUUGCACAAUGGGCGCAAGACUGAUGCAGCCAUGCCGCGUGUAUGAAGAAGGUCUUCGGGUUGUAAAGUACUUUCAGCGGGGAGGAAGGGAGUAAAGUUAAUACCUUUGCUCAUUGACGUUACCCGCAGAAGAAGCACCGGCUAACUCCGUGCCAGCAGCCGCGGUAAUACGGAGGGUGCAAGCGUUAAUCGGAAUUACUGGGCGUAAAGCGCACGCAGGCGGUUUGUUAAGUCAGAUGUGAAAUCCCCGGGCUCAACCUGGGAACUGCAUCUGUUACUGGCAAGCUUGAGUCUCGUAGAGGGGGGUAGAAUUCCAGGUGUAGCGGUGAAAUGCGUAGAGGUCUGGAGGAAUACCGGUGGCGAAGGCGGCCCCCUGGACGAAGACUGACGCUCAGGUGCGAAAGCGUGGGGAGCAAACAGG
RNAcentral lists this ribosomal RNA (429 nucleotides) under Chloroflexota bacterium. Its description in RNAcentral is "Chloroflexi bacterium partial 16S ribosomal RNA". It matches the Rfam family "Bacterial small subunit ribosomal RNA", at positions 355 to 776 of the family's 1533-position model. The record is from RNAcentral. Lineage: Bacteria; Bacillati; Chloroflexota.